GGCAAGCACGUAAACUCUCUUGCGCAGAGCUUACCUUACGAAGAUAAACAAAUUGCACGCAUGGCUGUCGUCAACUCGUGUCGUGAGAUGUUGGGUUAAGUCCCGCAACGAGCGCAACCCCUGUCCUUAGUUGCAUAUCUAAGGAGACUGCCGGUACAAAACCGGAGGAAGGUGGGGAUGACGUCAAGUCAGCAUGGCUCUUACGUCCAGGGCUACACACACGCUACAAUGGAUAGUACAAUGAGAUGCCACCCGGCGACGGGGAGCGGACCUCUUAAAGCUAUCCUCAGUUCAGAUUGUACUCUGCAACUCGAGUGCAUGAAGGUGGAGUUGCUAGUAACCGCGUGUCAGCAUAGCGCGGUGAAUAUGUUCCCGGGUCUUGUACACACGCCC
RNAcentral lists this ribosomal RNA (393 nucleotides) under uncultured soil bacterium. RNAcentral's name for it is "bacterial SSU rRNA". It matches the Rfam family "Bacterial small subunit ribosomal RNA", at positions 978 to 1395 of the family's 1533-position model. The record is from RNAcentral.